GACGAACGCUGGCGGCAUGCCUAAUACAUGCAAGUCGAGCGGAGUUGAUGGAAAGCUUGCUUUCCUGAUACUUAGCGGCGGACGGGUGAGUAACACGUAGGCAACCUGCCCUCAAGCUUGGGACAACUACCGGAAACGGUAGCUAAUACCGAAUACUUGUUUUCUUCGCCUGAAGAGAACUGGAAAGACGGAGCAAUCUGUCACUUGGGGAUGGGCCUGCGGCGCAUUAGCUAGUUGGUGAGGUAACGGCUCACCAAGGCGACGAUGCGUAGCCGACCUGAGAGGGUGAUCGGCCACACUGGGACUGAGACACGGCCCAGACUCCUACGGGAGGCAGCAGUAGGGAAUCUUCCGCAAUGGGCGAAAGCCUGACGGAGCAAUGCCGCGUGAGUGAUGAAGGUUUUCGGAUCGUAAAGCUCUGUUGCCAGGGAAGAACGCUUGGGAGAGUAACUGCUCCCAAGGUGACGGUACCUGAGAAGAAAGCCCCAGCUAACUCUGUGCCAGCAGCCGCCGUAA
This 516-nucleotide ribosomal RNA is filed under the name uncultured bacterium. RNAcentral describes it as "partial 16S ribosomal RNA". It matches the Rfam family "Bacterial small subunit ribosomal RNA", at positions 28 to 523 of the family's 1533-position model. The record is from RNAcentral.